This 252-nucleotide ribosomal RNA is filed under the name uncultured bacterium. Its description in RNAcentral is "partial 16S ribosomal RNA". It matches the Rfam family "Bacterial small subunit ribosomal RNA", at positions 524 to 776 of the family's 1533-position model. The record is from RNAcentral.
UACGUAGGUCCCGAGCGUUGUCCGGAUUUAUUGGGCGUAAAGCGAGCGCAGGUGGUUUAUUAAGUCUGGUGUAAAAGGCAGUGGCUCAACCAUUGUAUGCAUUGGAAACUGGUAGACUUGAGUGCAGGAGAGGAGAGUGGAAUUCCAUGUGUAGCGGUGAAGUGCGUAGAUAUAUGGAGGAACACCGAUGGCGAAAGCGGCUCUCUGGCCUGUAACUGACACUGAGGCUCGAAAGCGUGGGGAGCAAACAGG